UUAAAAAUAACACGAUUAUACCCCACGUGUAAAAUAAUUAGAGAGUACAACUUCCAUCUAAAUAAGAAAGAAGAGUCCAUUCUCUUCAAAAAAAAAAAAAAAAAAGAAAAGAAAACUUUGAAUCUCUUCUCAUUGAAGCAACAAAUACCAAAUCCAAGCAAUGAUCUCUUUUCAAAACCGUAAUUCUUGGAAACUCCAAAAUAUCAUAAAAGAAAACCCAACCAUAAAUAAAACCAAUUCAUGGGUAAAAAAUCAAACCUC
Molecule: long non-coding RNA, 261 nt
Filed under: Physcomitrium patens
Lineage: Eukaryota; Viridiplantae; Streptophyta; Bryopsida; Funariales; Funariaceae
Description: long non-coding RNA (PPAT_LNC001525)
Source: RNAcentral